This 15106-nucleotide long non-coding RNA is filed under the name Nicotiana tabacum (common tobacco). RNAcentral describes it as "long non-coding RNA (NTAB_LNC001403)". The record is from RNAcentral. Lineage: Eukaryota; Viridiplantae; Streptophyta; Magnoliopsida; Solanales; Solanaceae.
UGCUUGCGACUGUAGUCUUUAUAGGCAUCGCUAAAAAUGUAACACAUCGUUAGGAAUACGAAUGCUUAUAUUGCAUGAUCUAAGAUAAGAAGAGAGGAUACCAUCCUAUAUGUCUUGUAGCCUCCUAUUUAUAAGUGUGGUGCACAACACAACCAUAAAUAAGACUCUACUAGACAUGGUAUGUAGACAACCCUAGGACAAAACUGCUCUGAUACUACUUUUGUCACGACCCAAACCGAUGAGUCGUGAUGGGUGCCUGACUCCUACAUGUCAAACACCCCUAAGCAUGCGUCUAAGAUAUGAACCUGAAUAACAUUUGCUACAUUACGAAAAUAACAUAUGUGAGAAACCUGCCAUCAAAGCAUAUGUACGUAUACAGACAAAAUACAGUGGGCGAGCCGGUAAGGCUGCUAUAGACAACUAUACAUCCAUAACUGAAAGUCAUCAAGGCCAUAUGCAACCCAACUAGACAUACUGUCUACAGACCUCUAAUGGAAUCAUAAUUGUACAAAGACGGGACUAAGUCACGUCAUACCUAUAUAUAUAUAUAUAUAUAUAUAUAUAUAUAUAUAAAUGUAUCAUGUAUAUAUAUAUAUACACAAACGUAUCAUACCAAACUCAAAAGCAGCUCUGGAUCAAGUGGAGCACGCCAACUUUCGCUGAUCAGGGAUCCUAAGAAGGGGACUGUCAGCUUGCCUACCUGCACCUGCGGGCAUGAAACGUAGGCCCCGUGAAAUAGAGCAUCAGUACAAAAAAUAUAUUGAGUAUGUAAGGCAUGAAAAUAAGUACGUAAAAGACAUAGAUGAAACAUGGAAUACAGAAAUACCUUUAAAUCUGAAUAACUCUGUAAUUUUUGAAACAUUUAUAAUAUCAUGCACAUGCGUAUAAAUGUCAUGCCAUGAAUAGGUAUGGUGUACAUAAUAUCAUCAAGCCACUGAGGGCAUCCCAUCAUAUCAUCUCGGCCACUGUGGGCAAUAUCAUCAACAUAUACUUGAUCGGGUGGUGGUACGUAUAUAACGCCAUAACCUCUUCCCAUAUCCCAUAUACAUAUACAUACAUAUAUACACGUAUAUAACACUGUUUGAAUCAUAUUCCAGUCACUAUGGAUAACAUCAUCAUCAUAUACCAACUGAUCAGGUGGUGGUACGUAUAUAACAUCGUAACCUUUUCCCAUAUCCCAUAAACAUAUAUUUACAUAUUUACGCGUAUAUAACGUCAUCUGGUCAUGGGUAAAAGCAUAUGUAUAAAUGAGUGAAAUGCAUGAAAAAUAAAUAAUAAUCUUGAUAUUCCUUCUGGAUAAACUUUUCCAACUGCGUAUUAUUCUGAGACCCAUGAACAGAAGAUAAUAAUAAUUCUCAUGGGGAAUCAAGAAUAUAGACAUCCCUAAUAUCUCUAUAAAUAGUGUAGUUUAUGGAAACUGUGUAUUUGCUCGUUUCUUCAGUAUAAUUUGGACCAUGCCAAAAAAAAGAAGGGAGGGCCUUAACAUACCUGUUCCCGGAAUGCUUGAACGGAUUGAAGUUUCUACUUCUCUGAAAUAUGUUGAACGAAAUUUGUGGUGCUUUUUUUGAAAUUUCAGUCGAAAUUCUUGAAUUGACUAAGUAAUUGAAUUGUUUGGACGAAAUAUUUGUUGUUUUCCAUGUUUUUGAUUUCAAGCCAAGCUAAUUUAGGCAAGAAUGGACGAAAAGUUUUCUGUUUCUACGUUCUUUGUUUCAAACUAAAAGCAGAUUAUUGUUUUAGGUUCUUUUACCAAGAAAUGACAUCAAGCCUUCAUGGAUAAUGGUUAAGGCUUACAAGAUUCAAGUCUUAUAUAAGACUUUAAGUUUUGGACUCUUUAAACUUAAGACACAUAUACAUAUAUUCAUGAAUCAUUCUUCCCAAUUAGUGGCCUUGUGCCACUUUUUUUUUUUGUAAUUGAUGAAAUUUUGUCCGCUUAUUAGUUAACUGGGUAAUGUUCUGUUACCCGGUAAUUAAUCAAUUACCGGCAUAAUUUAAAAAUUACCACAAAUUACUUAAAAUUCUAUAUAUUUUUAUAAUACUUCAUAUAUAUUUUAUAUAUUAUACUACCAUGGUCAUAUGGUACCUUGCAUGGUACCAGUUCAUAAUUAUCGGGUAUUGUCGCUCAACCCGCAUUUUAUUCCAAAUUGGCCACUUCCAACGAAACUCGUUUUCGUUAAUCAGUGUACCCUUUUAUCCUUCAUAACACAUAUUUAUCGCUUGUUAUAAAUAGCGUAAGUACGUUUACGUCAAGAUAUUCUCAUCCCCGAGUCUACGUCGGUUAACUAAAAGCAAAAUUUUAGCGUACGAAAACACGAGAUGUAACACAUUCAUAUGGGGACCACACACUCCUGCGUGCACUUCAUUCAUUAUUCUUCCGGCCUCUUGGGCGUCCAUACAUCUUAAAAGGUUCAGAUCUGGAGUCCUUUUGUACAAAACCUCGCCACUCAAGAAGAAACCACUAGUAAGCCUUCUAAUGGUUCUCUUUUGGUCUCCACUAGCUUGCUCGGGAUAUUCUUUUGUUUUCAAAAAUCUGUUGAUAUCAUGAUAACAUGGCUGAACAUUUGGUUCCACCUCAACCGUAUUGCAAUAACCAUGUCUUUCUCGAAUUUUGAUUUCCAACGGGUUAAUGUGGACAUUGACUAGAUAUGGCAACAUCAAGGCCAAAGUAGCGAGUGCAUCGGAUAACUCAUUGUGAAACCAAGGAAUGUACCUGAACUCAACUGACUUGAACCGCUUGCUAAGAUCUUCCACAUGUUGCCUAUAUAGAAUAAGCUUGACAUCCCAAGUUUCCCAGUUACCCUGAGCUUGUCGGAUAAUCAAGUCUGAAUCUCUCAUGAUUAACAAUUCUUCCACCUCUUGGUUGAUUGCCAUGUUCAUACCCAUAAUGCAGGCUUCAUACUCGACAGUGUUGUUGGUGCAGAAAAAUCGAAGUCGGGCUGUGGCCGGAUAGUGCUGACCAGUGGGUGAGAUCAAGAUUGGCCCUAUCCCCACAUAUUUUGCGUUCACAGCUCCAUCGAAGAACAUUUUCCAAGCAUUGGUGUCUUCUGAAAUUACCUCAACUGAAUUUACUUCCGCUAAGUGAUCCACUAAAGCUUGAGCUUUCAUUGUCGUGCGGGUGACAUAGACUAUGUCAAACUCGGUGAGCAGGAUUUUCCAUAUUGCUAACCUCCCCAUGGGCAUCGGCUUUUGGAAUAUGUACUUCAAAGGAUCCAACCUGGUGAUGAGAUAGGUGGUACAGGCCAACACGUAAUGCCUAAGCUUCUGAGCGACCCAUGUUAGGGCACAGCAAGUCCAUUCCAAAAAAGUGUACUUGGCUUCGUAACUAGUGAAUUUCUUGUUCAAAUAGUAUAUUGCAUGUUCUUUCUUCCCGGUCGCAUCAUGUUGCCCGAGAACGCACCCAAAGGAAUUCUCCAACACUGUCAAAUACAAAAACAAAAGCCUCCCAGGUUUGGGUGGGACUAAGACUGGCGGAUUCGACAAAUAUUCUUUGAUUUUGUCGAAGGCUUCUUGGCACUCAUCUGUCCAUUUAAUCACUGCAUCUUUCUUCAACAGUUUGAAUAUGGGCUCACAUGUGGAAGUCAACUAUGGACUUUAUAUUUGUUGGACCUAGCUCAAUGCCCCUCUGAUUGACUAUAAAUCCCAAGAGUUUCCCAGACGAAACUCCAAAUGCGCAUUUAGCUGGAUUUAACUUCAAGUUAUACUUAUGCAAAUGCUGAAAGAACUUUCUCAUAUCCCGAACAUGGUCAUCCUACGUUCUUGAUUUAAUGAUUACAUCGUCCACAUACACCUCAAUUUCUUGGUGCAUCAUGUCAUCAAAGAUGGCAGUCAUAGAUCUCAUGAAAUUUGCCCUGGCGUUCUUCAAACCAAAAGGCAUGACCCUAUAACAAUAGGUGCCCUAGUGUGUGGUGAAAGCUAUUUUUUCCGCGUCUUCUUCAUCCAUCAAGACUUGAUGAUAUCCAUCAAAACAAUCCACGAAAGACUGUAUCUCAUGUUUGGCAUAGUUGUCUACAAGGAUGUGGAUGUUUGGCAAAGGGAAGUUGUCUUUGGGACUUGCUUUGUUCAAAUCCCGAUAGUCAACACACACUGGGGUUUUCCCANNNNNNNNNNNNNNNNNNNNNNNNNUUGAUGAUAUCCAUCAAAACAAUCCACGAAAGACUUGUAUCUCAUGUUUGGCAUAGUUGUCUACAAGGAUUGUGGAUGUUUGGCAAAGGGAAGUUGUNUUUGGACUUGCUUUGUCAAAUCCCGAUAGUCAACACACACUGGGGUUUUCCCAUCUUUCUUUGGCACUGGAACCACAUUAGCCAACCACGUAGUGUAUUGGACCAUCCGGAUCACACCCGCUUUUAACUGUUUGGUGAUCUCUUCUUUGAUCUUGUCAGUGAUACCAGUAUUGAACUUCCUUUAUUUUUGCAGGACAGGGGGAUAAUCUGGGUAAGUUGGCAAUUUGUGUACCACUAAAUCAACACUUAGGCCUGUAAUAUCAUCAUAGGACCAAGCAAAUACAUCUUUGAAUUCUAACAAAAGUUGGAUCAAUGUGUCCCUAGUUCUUUCAUCAGUGUGAAUGCUUACCAUGGUUUCUUGGACCUAUUCUGAACUACCCAAGCUAACUGGCUCAGUUUCAUUUAGUUUUGGCUUAGGCUUAUUCUCAAAUUGUUCCAGUUCUCGGUUUAUUUCCCUAAAAGCCUCAUCUUCAUCGUAUUUUGGUUCUUGAUUCAUUAUUUCACAAUGAGAUAGCGCGUUAGGAUAUGGGCAUGAAAUCCACAAGCAUGUCAUGUUAUUUAAGUCCGCAUUAUUAGAACUGAAAGAAUAAAUAAGAAAAAUAACAAAAUUAGAAAGAAUAAAGAAAGAGAUUCAUAGACGAUGAAAUAUUGAUUUCAUUUCAUUGAAUUUGAAGAUAGAAGGGUUUACAUUGGAAUUUUAAUGAUAAUAAACUUAAAGAAAACAUUCGAGUUACACCCUAAAAUAACUCGGAAUGCAGAAAAGGUGGCAAGACUGGACUACUAGGAUUCCCGCCUGACUAGGAACGGAGUAGCCUUCCAAUUUUGCAGCUUGGCAUCGGGCCCCAUAAAUUACACCUCAGCAGUGCUCGAGCCUUCACUCGGGUGGACCAUGUGAGCUUCAUAAAACAUUUGCCUCAUGUCUCCAUAUAUGUCCUCAAUUUCCUCGGCCGUGAGGGCCUCAUCUUCUUUUGUUUCCAUGUACUUUGGCUUGAUGAAUGUUUUGGAGAGAUGCGGUACCGGCUAAGGCAACACCCAACCAUUUCUCUUUCGUUCAUUUGCCCAUGUCACAUCAGAUUCUCUGGCGUGAAAACCCACACCAAAGAACUUCUCACUGGUAGCUAAAGUAAUAGGCUCUGUGAUACCUUACAAAGAUACCCCGAGCCCCUUCCCAGGCUUAUAACCAUGCAUGAUCAUUUCAGUGGUGACCAUGAUUGACGCAUUUGGCAGAAAGGGUUGAGGACAUGGGCUUCCUUCCACACAUUGAUCUGCGACCACAACCUCAAAAGCUUGAUAGACUAUGUGCUCGCUACCUUCCCUAGCCUCGAGACAUGGGACUGAUGGGUCCUGGUAAAUUGAUUGCUCGUCUUCUCCAUUUACCACAAUUUUCUGAUCUUUGUGUUCAAACUUCACUAUUUGGUGGAGAGUAGAAGGUACGGCCCCUGCAGUAUGGAUCCAAGGCCUUCCUAAGAGAAAAAUAUAAGAGGUGUCCAUGUCCAAAACCUGAAACGUCACUUUGAAAUCCAUAGGACCGAUAGUCAAGAUCAAAUCAAUCUCCCAUAUUUUGUCUCUCUUGAUGCCAUCGAAAGAACGCACACAAACAUUGUUAGGCCUGAUUCUCUCAGUCCCAAUUUCCAUUGUUUGCAAAGUUAAGAGAGGGCAUAUGUCGACCCCAGAUCUGCCAUCCAGCAUAACUCUUUUCACAUAGUACCCUUCACACUUAACUGUCAGAUGAAGAUCUUUGUUGUGGGCAACCCCUUCUGGGGGCAAGUCAUUUCUACUAAAUGAAAUCCUGUUGACUUCGAAGAUCGUUCCGCCAUCCUUUCCAGUUUCUCAACAGUGGUUCCAAUCGGAACAUAUGCUUCAUUUCGGGUCUUUAUUAACACUCUCUGAUGCUCAUUCGAGCUUAUCAGUAGAGACAAGAGCGAGAACUGAGAGGGAGACUUCCAGAGUUUGUCAAUUACCUCGUAGUCUGCAAUUUUCAUUUUUCGGAAGAAUUCCUCUGCUUCUUCGACACUGACUGGCCUUUUAAGUAGAAAACGCAUCUGCUUGGCAUUGUUCACUUCUUCUAGAUUGAGGUACUUCCCAUAUGGGUUAGUUUUGUUUACUUCCCUCAUGAUUUAUUUCCCCUUGUACGUCACAAUUGCUUUGUUGUAGUUCCAGGGGACUGCAGUGGGGUCUUUCAUCGGCUUUUGUAGGGCACGGCUAAUGAUCACGGGCUCAUUCAUCCCAGGUGGAAUUAUUGGUCCCCGUGCCACAUAAGUCCCUUUGGGUACAUACAUAUUAGGUCUCUUGUUUAGCUCGAACCUUUUAGGAGGACUCAAUGUGAAUUGUUCUUUUUUGGAGUCCCGAGGAACAUAAAGAAUGGCAUCCUUAGGGGGUACUGCCCUUGUUUUAGUUUCCACCAUCUUUUCUACACUUUGAGGGGCGGAGUUACUCUUCUUCUCCCCCUUGUCUUGCUUUGUAACCACCCUUGGCUUCUUUGCAACAUCGGCGAUGGCAAUGAUGGCUUUCAGAGCUGGGUCAAACUAUUUAUCUUCACAAAUCAUCCCAAUAACUGGCCCGUUGUUGUGAGACGGUAAUGGGUUAUUAGUCACAUUGGGGAUCUCUUCAUAUUUCAGCACUAUCCGUUUUUACUCUAUUAGACUUUCGACCACCCUUUUAAGAGUCCAACAGUCUUUAGUUUCAUGCUCUUCUGCUCCUGAAUGGUAAGCACAUCGAGCACCGUGUCAGUAGGAGGGCGACUCUAGGCUUUGCCUGGUUUGGGGUACGGGUUGCAACAAACCCAUUUGGACCAGUUUAGGAAAAAGGCCAGAGUAUGAUUCACUAAUAGGUGUGAAGUUGGUUCUUCUGGGUGGCUCCCGAGAACAGGCAUUGUAAGGAAAAUUAUUUUGUGGGGGAUGGGGAUUAUAUGGAGCUUGGUGAGGGGGGUUAUUUCUAGGAAGUGGAGCUCGGUUUUGGUUAAACUGUUGUUGUGGCUGAGCAUAUUGCUGGUCAUUCAUCACCGCAUAAGGCUGAGGAGCUAAUGCAUAAGCCACAUCCUGGUAAGGAUAAUAAUGUUGCGGGGUGUUUGGAAGUAAGUAACCUCGGGGUUGACGGGGGUUUCUCAGGCUUGAAGCCACCAUCGCCACUUCUUCUUUCUUCUUUCUGUUUGUUACACCUCCUGACCCGCUCUAGAUUGCUUGGGGCGUAGCUCUUAUAGAAGACUAGCUCAAUAUGCGGCCUGUCUUCAUACCAUUUUCGACCAUCUCCCCAGUUUUGAUAUCCUCAAAAAAUGGCUUUCCCAUUGCAAACAUUAUAUUCUGGAAGUAAUCAGCCUCUUGGGCUUGUAGAAAAACACUAACCAUCUUAGUCUUAUCCAUCGAGGGCUUCACCCUGGCUGCUUGUUAGUUCCACUUAACAGCAUAUUCUCGGAAACUCUCCAAAGACUUCUUUUUGAGAUUAGAUAAGGUAUUUCUGUCUGGAGCUAUGUCUAUGUUGUACUGGAAUUGCCUGACGAAAUCUCGAUCCAAAUCAUCCCUUAUGUGCCAGCGAGACAUGUCUUGAUCCAUGUACCACUCGGAUGCAAUGCCAACUAGACUCUCUCCGAAAUAAGCCAUUAGGAGCUCUUCAUUUUCACCUGCCCCUCUCAAUUUAUUGCAAUACCUCUUGAGGUGGGCUAUAGGAUCCCCAUGCCCAUCAUACUUUUCGAACUUGGGGGUCUUGAAACCGAUGGGCAAAUGAACAUGCGGGAACAUACAUAAAUCAGUGUAGGAUAUGCUCUUUUGGCCACUUAAAUCUUGUAUAUUCUUAAGGCUUUGUUCCAUGCUUCUCAUUUCCUGAGUAAUUUCCUCUUGCUUGGGAUUCUUCGUAGCUUUCUCUUGUCCCGUGGUAAACUCAUACCGGGGUUGUUGAGGGUAAGAAUUGGUGGUGAAAUGGGCAGUAGAAAGGAUGGUACUUGGAAAGUAAAGGAUAAUGGAUCAAAGCUUGGCCUGGGAAAAGUUGGUUGUGCCGUAGCCGAGGUUGGUGGUGCAGUGAAUAUGUUAGAGGCCACUCCUAAAAUUAAUGCCUGGGGGCGAACCUCAGAAGGCAUUCCGGCGAAAUGGGCUGAGAUGGUGGGAUAUCUGAGUGGGGUGUUCGUGUAAUUUAUUGGGAUGUUUGAUGUUACACUUGAUCUGGGAAGUAGCUCAGGGAAACCAGGUAUUGCACUAGGCGGCUCUCUACCGUUGGACCAGGCAUCCCACAUUUCCAACAUUCGGAGGCGCAGUGCCCUAUUCUCUUCAGCAGUCGCCGAUUAUGAUGUUGGGAUAGUCGAUAACGGGAUAUCAUCUGGGAUGGGAAUUGUUUGUAGAUGACUAUCUGACGAUAUUUCGACACUUCUCUUGGAUCUUGUAAAGUAAGGGCGCGAAGCCAGGUUACCACAAACGAACCACCUUAAAAACACAACCUAAACUCACAACAGACACAACAAAAUGGUUAGUUCGAGGCAACUAACACAUAGGGAAUCGCACAUUGGGGGUGUGAUGCACAUAUACAGUUAAAUGUGUUUCUAUAUGUUUUGCAACGAAUGCAUGUCUCAUCCCGACUUUUGUUUAUCUCCCUGAUCUUUUGUCGUGCUCUCUUUUGCACUCUCUUGCUUUUCUCUCUUGUUCUCAUUCUCUUUUUCUUGUUUUCUCUCUUUUCUUCUUUGCUUUUUCCUUUUGGUUUUCUCUUUUCAUCAUUUUCUCUUUUAUUUGAAUUAUUUAUAACCAUGACCGGAUCUGAUGGGGAUUGCCUACGUAUCACGACAUCGCAUGAAUUAGAUCAUCACGUAGUUCAAAAGAUUAAUGUGGAAUAAACAAAUUUUGGUUUUUUUUUCAAAUUUUCAUUAAAACAAAAACUUCUAUUACAAAGACUCGAUCAUACAUACUUAAGACUUGAAAAAUUAAAAUAGACUCAAAACAGACUCUAGUAAUGAAAAUAUAGACUCGAAAGGAGAAAGGAAAACAAUCAGGAGUACAUAAGUGCCUCCAAUCCACCCCUAGGGACACCAAUUGGUCUUGUCGUGGGCCUACGUGCCAUGUCUUCUUGGAGGUGAUAGAGGUCAUCCAUUAUCUGGUGAACAAAGAUCAUUACUGUGGUGAAGAACAUGGACCUGGUCAUGUCCUCACACUCGUUGCACUAUAUCACAAUGUGUCGGCGAUUCUUCUAACCCUUUCGCUGAUGAUGCCCUUUUCUUGUAACAACCACCCAAUCUGCUGAGAUCUAGCCUCCAAAACAUGGGUGACCACAUGAUUCUGUUCUUGCAAAUGUUGUAGGUCCUCCUCUAGCUGUGCCAUCAAAGCGUAACAAUGUUAUCUCUCGGCUUUCAAGCUCUUGGAUUGUUUAGUCAUUUAACCCUCAAGGCUAUUAAGCUCCUUUUUCAAGCCCAUGCCCCUUAUGUCAUAUCUUUCCUUCAACUGUCGAAAAAAAAUUGCCCGUUCUUCUGCAUUUUUGGCCAACUUUGUUCAGGCUUUUGCUAGCUCAGCCUCAGACCUUUGCAAAUCAUCCUCAUAGUCACGUACUUUUUACGUAAGGCUGUAGAUGAGCUUUUCAUAUUUUCUGCUUCUGCCCGAGGUCUCAGCUACUAUUCUCAUCUUUCAAACUUGGGCCUGGAGAGCUUCAUUUUCUUUGGCUAACCUUCUUCUUUCACCUUCAGCUUCUUGUUCAUGUAGAUCAUUAUUGAAUACGAUGUUCCUCAAUUCUUCUUGCAAAGCGUGAAUGGUGGCUUGAUAUUUUUUAUCCUUCUCUCCCCAGACCAACCUUUCUCGGAUUUUAUCAUCAAAAUCUUGAACAUGAGGUCUUUUGGCGGGCCUUUUAGGCUCAGGCUCUGGCUCAUCAUUCGCACAAAACCUUCUCUCAAACCACACAGCAUAAUUUGGAUCCACUUCUCCUCUCGCAAGAUCUGGUACCUAGGUGUCACUUUUUAGAUAUCGGCAACCAUUCCAAUCCUUUUGGACUAAAGCCUCAGGUAGUGUUGCUUAUGGGUGUAGCUCAAUGACUUGGGUACUCAAAUCUACCUCUUCGGGUACCACUUGAUAUCUUCCCAGUUGCCUUAGAACUCUUUGCUGUGCAUAUAGUUGGAUACUCCUCAGGCCCAUCAUCAUCAAGUAGCCUUUUGAAGCUGUCAUAUAUAUGACUUCCGUUACCGGAAGCCAUCCUAUGGUCCAUUCACUUUGACUUGCUUUCAGAGUUCUUAAAUGGGAGACCCAGGCCCCAAACCCUUCUGGAGAUUUGUAGUUUUCACCCUUUCCUCAUAAUUCUUGAUAAAGUUGUUCCUGUUCGAACCAUAACUCAUGAACUUGGGGUGACGGCAGAGAUGUUCGAUCAACCACAUUUGAACCCUCAAAGAAUUGAGCCCCAGAUUUACACAAGGUUAAUGCUCGAUAAAUGUCCACCAGCACUAACGGAACAAGUGUGUGAUCUUUAUUGGAAGUGAAUAUUUGUGCAAUUCUGGCCAUACGAGUAUCUAUUGUCCCUUCUACAUUGGGAAAGACCAUGAUUCCCAGAAACGCCAUAAUGAAAGCAAACUGACGAUGAAUAUGUCAGGUGCUCUUAUCUUGUUCGUUGUUUAAUCCCUUUUCAUGCAUUUCAAACCCAGCUGAGUGCCCGAACCUGAAGUAUAAGAAGUAGAGAGAACAACAUCCCUUGUUUGCAUGGGCCUUCUUCAUUUGCUUACUUAUAUUCAGAAGAUCAAAGAACUUGUGCCCAAAGGGAGCCCUCGGGAAUAUAAGUUAAUGUUUCCUCAUGUCCUAGCCAAAGUCAAUGUAUCCGGCCAUUUCCUCUAGAGUAGGGGUGAGCUCGAAAUUCGAGAAAUGGAACACGUUGUGGACAGGAUCCCAAAAGGUUACCAAAUUUUUGAUUAGAUCCUCCUGGGGUUCGAUGCUCAUGAUGUCUAUAAGGGAACCCAGCUACACUUUUACCCAAUCCUGGCCAUCUUUAUCUUAAUCAUUCCACCACAUGUGGAGCUGCAGUUGAGCCUGUUCUAUGACCAAUUAUGACGGGUUCUAGACAGUAUUCAUUUGUACCUAUGGAGGGUUAAGGUUAGGGUUGACUCUGGUGGACUCUUUUUGCAAAACAAGUUUUUAAUUUCUAAAAGAAAAUCAACGGACAAUGACCCCCCUUAUGCUACUUUAGCAAAAAUGGUCAUUUUGUAAACGUGGCCUCUUCGCAAUUCCAAACAAAUUUUGAGGCCGGGGGAAGGUAUUUUAUGGAAAAAGACACCUUACAUAUAGACUUGCCCAUUCUUCACGAAAAAUAGCCUUUCGACAAUUGGAAGAUAAUCUAAGGCUAUCCCGGCAAGGACGAGUUAAAAUACAACCGAAGCUGGGUCGGCUUAUUCUUUUGACCAAAGCCCUAAACUACACUUUAGUUGAUUAUUUUUGUAAAAAAAAUGAGGCCGAACCUUAUGUGGGUUGCCUACGUAUCCCACAUCCGGUGAGAAUCAGACAUGCGUAGUUCGGUCAAUUUUGACAUAAAAACAUAAUUGUUGGCUCACUUUUUUUAAAAUACAUUUUCCUUUUUCCCUUUUUUCAAAAAGUUUGGCUGAGUUUUGAGACCUUUUCAAAUAUUGGGAUUUUCAGAACCGGGUGAAUUCUCUAUCCUACUUCACUCUUGGUUUUUCUCUUUAUUUCCUUUUCCUAACCGGUCAAUAUGCAAGCCGAAACAAAUAAAUAUUCACAUAGCACAUAGGAUGCAUCAGGAUGGUCUUUAUUUUGGGUACACCUGUGCUAGACGGACCUAACCCCUGUGUUGAGUCCCCAAGGUCUAAUGCACGUGAUGCAAAUAAACGUUCCUACUAGGGAUCCAGCAUGAGGUUAUGUUAUUCUAAGUGUAAACCUAGGGUGUUGUUCUAGACCUGGCUUACUCGAGCGGACAAACUCGAGUCGAGGAGGGGGCAAUGAACCAGGAGCACGAAAGUCUGCCCGACCUUGUUGCUUGUCCAGCCCCGUUCUAUUUGGUAUAACUCUAACAGAAAAGUGGGUCAUGCGAACGUGAGCACCGUUUUUUUAGAAGACUCAGAAGGGAGGCGUAAGAAUACAGUUCAAGUAAUAUCAAAGCGGUAAAUGGCAAUUAGCAAUUAAGUCCACAAAAUACAGUAAUAUCAACAAUAAAGCCAAAUAAAAAUCACAUUAACAAGCUCGAAUUCUUGAACCCCGAACCAGAGAUUCUGGGUUUGAUCCCCAGUGGAGUCUCCAGAGCUAUCACACCUCCUUUUUUCCACCCGAGAGGGCAUAUAUGGGAGUUUUUCCAGUUAAAGUGACAUUAAUCGAGAUGGGAUUAUUUAGUUUAUUAGAGUCGCCACUUGGAAUAAUUUAUUUGGUGUCUCAAGUCACUGGUUUGUUUUGAAUCCCAAAUCAAGGAAGUUUCAAGUUUAUUUAAAGUCUGAGAACCAGAAAUUCUAAGUAAGGAAUUCUGUUAAUCCGGGAGAAGGCGUUAGGCAUUCCCGGGUUCUGUAGUUCUAGCACAGUCGCUUAGUGAUUAUUACUUGGCUUAAAUUGUUUAACUACUUAUUUUUAGGACCUAUGUACAUUUAUCUUUUGACCGCUUUUAAUCACUUGAUUCAUUCGUAAUUAAAGAAUUAAGUUACGCGUACGUAUACUCUUUUCUUUUGGCGCAUCAAAAAUCAUGUCACGCGAACGUGUCCACAAUUAAUAAUGCUUUGUUUAUUUUAUUAAGAAGAGUUUCGUUGAAGUUGCACGAACGCACCCUCGAGUUACUUUUUUUAGAAUUAAAUUCGCAAAUAUGUUACGCGAACAUAUGCAUAAGCACAAUAAUAGUCUGAGUCGAGCCUAAAACAAACUACAAGUGUUUAAGGUUAUUUUAACAUCUAAAUUGUAAUACCAAUAUGAGGGCCAUAGAUGAUUUAAUUAGGAUGGCACACCUCAACCAUUUAAAAGAAUUACACUUAAUGAGGCCUAAGGAUAUUCUUACUUACAACUAUUUUGGAUUUAAAACUAUUGAUUAUGGGUAAGGAAAUAUAAAGCAGCCUGUUAUAUUUUUUUUUUGAAAAAGAACUGGGCCAGUAGCAGGCCCAGUAUACUAUCAAAACAGGCAUUAAAGAAAAAGGGAGUGAAGCCAUCACCAACUGGGCUCCAAAAUUAAGCCCAGACGUGGGACCAAGGGACAAAACUGAAUAUUAGGGGUCCAAUUUGACUAGGAGUCAUGAUUUGGGCCAUCUGCAAGCCUAAUUGCAUUAUUCAGAAUAAACUAUUUAUGAAGAAAAGAUAUGUUGAUGAGGAUUUGGCUCAAAUUUGAGCCUAAAAGAGAGAAACAUGAAUAACUAGAAGUCAACGAGCCUGGCCAUGAUCCAGGCAAUCUCAUUUGGGCCGGAUCCAACCCCAAACUUAGGCACGAAUGCAUCAAACAUUAAGGCCCCACUGAGGCCCACUGACUACAAUGCACAUAUAGCAACAACAUAAUAUGCAGAUUAUGAAAAUUACAACACCAAACAGACUAUGUUAUAAACCUUAAAAUUAUUAUAUUGCUACUAAUGCUAACAACAUGAAAUUGAACUAUGAAACUACUCAUUAACUAUACUACUACAUAUAAACUUGUUCUAUCAAAGUUACAAUUUUGAAAAAUAUACACAUGCUAGGUACAGUGUUUCAAACAUAUGUGAGCCAGCAUUUUUUAUUACAAACAAAUUAUUAGAAACCUAUACUAACUUGAAAUUUUACAUAUUUCAGAACAACCAAACUAGCAGACCUUCAGCAUAUAACAUUUCCUACUAGACAAAUAGCCAUCCAAACACAUCCAAACCACAUCAAUACUACAGAAGACUAAAACUAAUAAAGGUACUGAGAAAACAUGGGAAUAAAAUUAAAAGGGGCGCAUUUCAUUAGAUCUUCAAUUUUCAGCUACAUAUUGCCAAUAGAACGACAGGCUUGCACUUCAAAGAUCAUGUAAAGUCCAAAAAAUACCUGGAUAUUGAAACAAAGCAAAAAGGAAAUGAUAAGUUCAACAAGCAAAGAAGUAUGAGUAAAUCAGCAGCUCAACAGCAAUAUUCAGCUCCUUAGAUCAAUCUUAAACCCAGAAAAACAGAAGUCCUUCGAAAACUUUUAUGUUCUUACUAACAGGGACAAAACAAGGAACAAUUCUCAACCAUUUUCAACCAAAUAAUGUCGAAACUUUAAGUAUUUUUUAGGGUUUGAAUUUCUGAUGUUUCUUUUCAGAACUUUUAGGCAGAAGAUGAUGUUGAAUGUGUGUGUGUGAGUGAGGGAAUGUUUCCCUUUUAUAGAGUGUACAAAAAGGCAUCAAAAAAGCAUAUUCUAACCUAAAAUUCUGAACUUUCAGGAUAGUACAGCAUCUUUUUACAGCUGCUUGUCCUUUUCCUACCCAAUUUCAUCAUCUUUUGCAACAGCUAGGACAGUUGUGCACCUUCUAGAAACUUCUCCUAUUUUCAUACCCUUUUUACUUCUGAAAUUUUACCAUUUACCCAGAAGUUCUGACUUAAUACCUUUUCUUAUUUUAAUUUGAUCCCUUAUCUUAAAUCAAGAAGCUUCUCAUCUAAAAAUCCUACUUCAUAUUUCCAAAUUAACCUGCUAAGUUUUUAAUUGCUCAAUUAAGACCCUAGGAGUUUUUUACCAAUUACAAAUCCUUAACAGACAAAAUCAAAUGGGCAACUAUCAGUAUUUGAAGCAAACAAUCAAAGUUAAAAGGGAAAACAUCUGAAAAUUUUGAAAAAUAAACCUAAUCUCUAAACUGAACCAAAUUCAUAAGAAAAACUUUACAAAGCUUAACAGACUAUUAGUUUAAUGAUGAGCAUGGGCAGACGGGUUAAACAAACAAACAAACAACUUGAAUAACAUUGAACUUAAACUAAUAAUGCACUAAUUAAAACAAAUAACUAACAAUUUAUGCUAAUCAUGCCGUCAGAGAAAACCAAAAGGGAA